Molecule: unclassified non-coding RNA, 296 nt
Filed under: Hevea brasiliensis (rubber tree)
Lineage: Eukaryota; Viridiplantae; Streptophyta; Magnoliopsida; Malpighiales; Euphorbiaceae
Source: RNAcentral
GUCAAAUACCAUUUUCUCUUCAAAAUUGUACAUUCUUAAGCACACUGGAUGUUAGUGAAAAUGAACUGAUCGGCCACAUUCCAACAUGGAUGGGGAAAAGGCUUUUGGAUUUGGUUAUUCUCAACCUUCGCGCUAAUAAGUUUCGUGGCCAUAUCCCUAAGCAUCUUUGUUAUUUGGCUUCUUUGCAUAUUCUAGACCUUUCUCAUAAUUCUCUCUCUGGAACCAUCCCAACCUGUGUUAAAAACUUCAGUUCAAUGGCUACAAUUGAUUCUGCAACCCAAUUUUUUACUAUGUAU